GCAGGAAUGUAAGGGUGUAUGGUGGAUGCCUUGGCUUUACAAAGCGAUGAAAGACGUGGAAUGUCUGCGAUAUGUUUCGGGGAGGUGACAAUCAACCUUUGAUCCGGAAAUUUCUGAAUGGGGAAACCCAACCGAUUACGUCGGUUACCUUUCGUAUGAAAGGAGUGUACCUAGGGAAGUGAAACAUCUCAGUACCUAGAGGAAUAGAAAGCAAUAUACGGAACUUUCUUUCUGGUUAAAACUAAGCCUUCGGGCUGCCAUUGAAACCAGGAAGAAGGUUCUUGCGAUUCCCUGAGUAGCGGCGAGCGAAACGGGAGAAGCCCAAACCUUUGGUAGCAAUAUUAAAGGGGUUGUAGGGCAAAGUCUGCAUUUAGUUGCGGAGAGUUAUAAAAUAUAUGUAUAGAAGAACGAACUGGGAAGUUCGACCCCAGAGGGUAAUAGUCCCGUACUUGAAAUGCAUAUAUCUCUCUUGAUUUUGUUCCUGAGUAGUCCGAGACAUGAAUAGCUCGGAUGAAUCCGCCAGUACUAACUGGUAAGGCUAAAUAUUUGUAAAGACCGAUAGUGAACUAGUACCGUGAGGGAAAGGUGAAAAGAACCCCGGAGAGGGGAGUGAAAUAGAUCUGAAACCAUACAUCUACAAGGAGUCGAAGCCUUUAGGGGCGACGGCGUGCCUAUUGAAGAAUGAGCCGGCGAGUGUACCUUUGUCCUUUGUCUAAGUGGCAAACCCACGGAGGCACAGUGAAAGCGAGCGUGAAUAGCGCGAAUAUAGGGCAGGGGUACGACCCGAAGCGGGAAGAGCUUGCCAUGAGCAGGGUGAAGCGACUGUAAAAGGUCGUGGAGGCCCGAACCGGUUGGCCGUACAAAACCAUCGGAUGACUUGUGGUAAGGAGUGAAAAGCUUAUCGAUUUCCGUAAUAGCUGGUUCUCUCCGAAACAGCUUUAGGGUUGGCGUCGAGUGGUCCCAUUGGGGGUAGAGCACUGGAAGGGUCAAACAGGGUGAAAACUCGUUGACCCUAUCAAACUCCGAAUACCAAUGGUUAUAGCUCGGCAGUUAGACUAUGGGGGAGAAGCUCCAUUGGUCGAAAGGGAAACAGCCCAGAUCGCCAGUUAAGGUCCCAAAAUAUAUGCUCAGUGCAACUUGAGGAGGUGAGGAUUCUCCAACAGCCAGGAGGUUGGCUUAGAAGCAGCCAUCCUUUAAAGAAAGCGUAACAGCUCACUGGUCGAGAGUCCUUGCGCCGAAGAUGAUCGGGGCUCAAGCAUAUUACCGAAACUGCGGAUUCGUACUUUCUUCGGAAAGUGCGAGUGGUAGGAGAGCGUUCGUAUCUGCGAUGAAUGGGAGGGGAGACCCAACCUGGAGCGAUGCGAAGUGAGAAUGCCGGCACAAGUAACCGCAAGACGGGUGAGAACCCCGUCCGCCGAAAUACCGAGGUUUCCUUUGCGAUGGUGAUCAGCGAAGGGUUAGUCGGUCCUAAGCCGAUGGCGAAUGCCGGAGGCGAUGGAGAGCAGGUUAAUAUUCCUGCACACCACUAUGUUCCUAUGGAGGGACGGAGGGUUGUACUUAAAGCAUCUUAUUGGAUUGGUGCUGGAGCUAUGAGCGUGUUACUUAGGCAAAUCCGGGUAACAAUAACGCGAGUAGAGUCUGAAUCUGCGGCUACGGCCAAAGAAAUUUAAGGAGCACGCUUCCGAGAAAAACUUCGUUUGGGUUAAACAUAGCGGUUCCGUACCGCAAACCGACACAGGUGGUAAGGUCGAGAAGACCAAGGCGAACGAGUGAGGGGUCCUUAAGGAACUCGGCAAAAAAGCGGCCGUAACUUCGGGAUAAGGCCUGCCUUUGCCCCUUCGGGGGUUAAAGGCCGCAGCGAAAGAUUUCCUGGCGACUGUUUAACAAAAACACAGCUCUCUGCGAAGACGUAAGUCCAUGUAUAGAGGGUGACGCCUGACCAAUGCGGGAAGGUUAAGCACGGGGGGUGAAGUGUCUUCGGAUGCUUUGCUGGACUGUGUAAGCCCCCGUCAAUGUCAGCGAUAACUAUAAUCGUUCUAAGGUAGAGCGCGUUUCUUCGGAAAUUCGCUCUACGGAUUAGAACGGUUAUAGAGUUAAACAGCCCGAGCCAUAGUUACCUUAUUAGUGAGUAAUCAUUAAUAUUUCCAACUGCAACCAACAAGAGACCAAAUGUUGCACACCCGACUUUAUACCAGUUUGACUAGUAUAGAAGGGUGAAGAUAGAGUCCUAUUGUGUACGUAGAUACGCGGGUAUCUACAUUAAAGAAGGAAUUAUAGAGCGCAAUUCCUUGUCGGGUAAGUUCCGACGUGCACGAAUGGCGUAACGACUGGGAAACUGUCUCAAGGACCUGCUCGGUGAAAAUACAAUGGCUGUGAAGAUGCAGCCUACCUGCAGUUAGACGAAAAGACCCCAGGAGCUUUACUGUAGUUUCUUAUUGGGGCUGUUUGAUUUAUGUGUAGCAUAGAUGGGAGACUUUGAAGCGGGCUUUCGGGUACCGUGGAGUCGUCAGUGAAAUACCAUUCUUAAAUCGGGCAGUUCCUAACCCGACGCGACAAACGCGCUGGGGACAGUGAGUGGCAGGCAGUUUUAGUGGGGCGCUACCCUCCCAAAUUGUAACGGAGGGGUCUCAAGGUCAACUAGGCGCGAAUGGAAACCGUGCCGAUAGUGCAAUGGCAAAAGUUGGCUUGACUGCAAGGCGUAGAUGCCAAGCAGACACGAAAGUGGAGCAUAGUGAACCGAUGGUUGGCUUUAGAUGCCGCCGGAGAUUACCCGAUAAAAGUUACCCUGGGGAUAACAGGCUAGUCGUGCCCAAGCGUCCAAAGCGACGGCACGGUUCGGCACCUCGAUGUCGGCUCAUCUUAUCCUGGGGCUGGAGCAGGUCCCAAGGGUUUGGCUGUUCGCCAAUUAAAAAGAUACGCGAGCUGGGUUUAGACCGUUGAGUUCGCUCUUAGUUAUUAGCACUUCGCUAUUGGCUAAGGGACAUUCAGCAGUCUAAACCCCUUCGAAGAUUGUUUUAACUUUUCGAAAAUGAAAUAAAGAUAGAUCCAACCAACACGGCGGUCAUAUAUAGGAAUAUAUAUGAAAAAACUAACUAAUAUCGGUAGAACCCGACCACGAAAGUGAGGGCAAUACCGAGGGAAGGGUAAAACCGCCCUUAGAGACUGAACGUUAGUCAUCGAGAGGGGCUCGCGAAGACGCGCCCCCACUUAGAUUUCUAUAAAUAGAAAUCUAGGCGCC
RNAcentral lists this ribosomal RNA (3238 nucleotides) under Patescibacteria group bacterium UBA6201. RNAcentral's name for it is "bacterial LSU rRNA". It matches the Rfam family "Bacterial large subunit ribosomal RNA". The record is from RNAcentral.